GGGCAAUUAGUCUAGUGGUAUGAUUCGCGCUUAGGGUGCGCGAGGUCGCGGGUUCAAUUCCCGCAUUGCCCC
Non-coding RNA from Trichomonas vaginalis G3, 72 nucleotides. Lineage: Eukaryota; Parabasalia; Trichomonadida; Trichomonadidae. The record is from Rfam.